GAUGAACGCUAGCGGCAGGCCUAACACAUGCAAGUCGAGGGGUAGCAGGAUUAAGCUUGCUUAAUUGCUGACGACCGGCGCACGGGUGCGUAACGCGUAUGCAACCUACCUUAUACUGGGGUAUAGCCCGGAGAAAUUCGGAUUAAUCCCCCAUAGUGCUAAUGAAUCGCAUGGUUUAUUAGUUAAAGCAUUGCGGUAGAAGAUGGGCAUGCGUCCUAUUAGUUAGAUGGUGAGGUAACGGCUCACCAUGGCUACGAUAGGUAGGGGGCACGAGGGGGUGGUCACCCAAACUAGUGCUGAGACACGGACCAGACUCCUACGGGAGGCAGCAGUGAGGAAUAUUGGUCAAUGGGCGCAAGCCUGAACCAGCCAUGCCGCGUGCAGGAAGAAUGCCCUAUGGGUUGUAAACUGCUUUUAUUUGGGAAUAAACCUCUUUACGUGUAGAGAGCUGAAGGUACCAAAUGAAUAAGCACCGGCUAACUCCGUGCCAGCAGCCGCCGUAA
Molecule: ribosomal RNA, 503 nt
Filed under: uncultured bacterium
Lineage: Bacteria
Description: partial 16S ribosomal RNA
Rfam family: Bacterial small subunit ribosomal RNA
Source: RNAcentral